GCCGAAGUGGCGAAAUUGGCAGACGCACUGUCUUCAGGAGGCAGCGAGCGUAAGCUUGUGCGGGUUCGAGUCCCGCCUUCGGCACCA
This 87-nucleotide transfer RNA is filed under the name Herpetosiphonaceae bacterium. Its description in RNAcentral is "tRNA-Leu". It matches the Rfam family "tRNA". From Rfam's summary of the family: Transfer RNA (tRNA) molecules are approximately 80 nucleotides in length. Their secondary structure includes four short double-helical elements and three loops (D, anti-codon, and T loops). Lineage: Bacteria; Bacillati; Chloroflexota; Chloroflexia; Herpetosiphonales; Herpetosiphonaceae. The record is from RNAcentral.